Molecule: transfer RNA, 76 nt
Filed under: Gimibacter soli
Lineage: Bacteria; Pseudomonadati; Pseudomonadota; Alphaproteobacteria; Kordiimonadales; Temperatibacteraceae
Description: Kordiimonadaceae bacterium 6D33 tRNA-Trp
Rfam family: tRNA
About the family: Transfer RNA (tRNA) molecules are approximately 80 nucleotides in length. Their secondary structure includes four short double-helical elements and three loops (D, anti-codon, and T loops).
Source: RNAcentral
AGGGGCGUAGCUCAGUUGGUAGAGCACCGGUCUCCAAAACCGGGUGCCGGGGGUUCGAGUCCCUCCGCCCCUGCCA